RNAcentral lists this ribosomal RNA (253 nucleotides) under uncultured bacterium. RNAcentral describes it as "partial 16S ribosomal RNA". It matches the Rfam family "Bacterial small subunit ribosomal RNA", at positions 524 to 776 of the family's 1533-position model. The record is from RNAcentral.
GACGGAGGAUGCAAGCGUUAUCCGGAAUUAUUGGGCGUAAAGCGUCCGCAGGUGGAUAUACAAGUCUGCUGUCAAAGUGCAGAGCUUAACUCUGUAAAGGCGGUGGAAACUGUAGGUCUUGAGUAUGGUAGGGGUAGAGGGAAUUCCCGGUGUAGCGGUGAAAUGCGUAGAUAUCGGGAAGAACACCAGUGGCGAAAGCGCUCUACUGGGCCAUAACUGACACUGAGGGACGAAAGCUAGGGGAGCGAAAGGG